RNAcentral lists this non-coding RNA (29 nucleotides) under Rattus norvegicus (Norway rat). Lineage: Eukaryota; Metazoa; Chordata; Mammalia; Rodentia; Muridae. The record is from RNAcentral.
UGAGGCCAGAAGUGACUCAAGUCCUGAUC